AUUGAACGCUGGCGGCAGGCCUAACACAUGCAAGUCGAGCGGAUGAAGGGAGCUUGCUCCUGGAUUCAGCGGCGGACGGGUGAGUAAUGCCUAGGAAUCUGCCUGGGAGUGGGGGAUAACGUCCGGAAACGGGCGCUAAUACCGCAUACGUCCUGAGGGAGAGAGUGGGGGAUCUUCGGACCUCACGCUAUCAGAUGAGCCUAGGUCGGAUUAGCUAGUUGGUGGGGUAACGGCCUACCAAGGCGACGAUCCGUAACUGGUCUGAGAGGAUGUACAGUCACACUGGAAGUGAGACACGGUCCAGGCUCCUACGGGAGGCAGCAGUGCGGAAUGUUGGACGAAGGGCGAAAUCCUGAUCCAGCCAUGCCGCGUGUGUGAAGAAGGUCUUCGGAUUGUAAAGCACUUUAAGUUGGGAGGAAGGGCAGUAAGUUAAUCCCUUGCUGUUUUGACGUUACCAACAGAAUAAGCACCGGCUAACUUCGUG
This 484-nucleotide ribosomal RNA is filed under the name uncultured bacterium. RNAcentral's name for it is "partial 16S ribosomal RNA". It matches the Rfam family "Bacterial small subunit ribosomal RNA", at positions 30 to 507 of the family's 1533-position model. The record is from RNAcentral.